UAGUCCACGCCGUAAACGAUGGUUACUAGCUGUUCGUUCUACAUUGGUAGGAUGAGUGGCUAAGCGAAAGUGAUAAGUAACCCACCUGGGGAGUACGUUCGCAAGAAUGAAACUCAAAGGAAUUGACGGGGGCCCGCACAAGCGGUGGAGCAUGUGGUUUAAUUCGAUGAUACGCGAGGAACCUUACCAGGGCUUAAAUGCAGUAUGACAGAUUUGGAAACAGAUUUUUCUUCGGACAUAUUGCAAGGUGCUGCAUGGUUGUCGUCAGCUCGUGCCGUGAGGUGUCAGGUUAAGUCCUAUAACGAGCGCAACCCCUGUUGCUAGUUGCCAGCGAUUAAAGUCGGGGACUCUAGUGAGACUGCCGGUGCAAACCGUGAGGAAGGUGGGGGAUGACGUCAAAUCAUCACGGCCCUUACGUCCUGGGGCUACACACGUGCUACAAU
RNAcentral lists this ribosomal RNA (443 nucleotides) under uncultured bacterium. Its description in RNAcentral is "bacterial SSU rRNA". It matches the Rfam family "Bacterial small subunit ribosomal RNA", at positions 791 to 1231 of the family's 1533-position model. The record is from RNAcentral.